AUUGAACGCUGGCGGCAGGCCUAACACACGCAAGUCGAGCGGAUGAAGGGAGCUUGCUCCUGGAUUCAGCGGCGGACGGGUGAGUAAUGCCUAGGAAUCUGCCUGGUAGUGGGGGAUAACGUCCGGAAACGGGCGCUAAUACCGCAUACGUCCUGAGGGAGAAAGUGGGGGAUCUUCGGACCUCACGCUAUCAGAUGAGCCUAGGUCGGAUUAGCUAGUUGGUGGGGUAAAGGCCUACCAAGGCGACGAUCCGUAACUGGUCUGAGAGGAUGAUCAGUCACACUGGAACUGAAACGCGGUCCAGACUCCUACGGGAGGCAGCAGUGGGGAAUAUUGGACAGUGGGCGAAAGCCUGAUCCAGCCAUGCCGCGUGUGUGAAGAAGGUCUUCGGAUUGUAAAGCACUUUAAGUUGGGAGGAAGGGCAGUAAGUUAAUACCUUGCUGUUUUGACGUUACCAACAGAAUAAGCACCGGCUAACUUCGUG
Molecule: ribosomal RNA, 484 nt
Filed under: uncultured bacterium
Lineage: Bacteria
Description: partial 16S ribosomal RNA
Rfam family: Bacterial small subunit ribosomal RNA
Source: RNAcentral